UGGGGAAUUUUGGACAAUGGGCGAAAGCCUGAUCCAGCAAUGCCGCGUGUGUGAAGAAGGCCUUCGGGUUGUAAAGCACUUUUGUCCGGAAAGAAAUCCUUGGCUCUAAUACAGUCGGGGGAUGACGGUACCGGAAGAAUAAGCACCGGCUAACUACGUGCCAGCAGCCGCGGUAAUACGUAGGGUGCAAGCGUUAAUCGGAAUUACUGGGCGUAAAGCGUGCGCAGGCGGUUUGCUAAGACCGAUGUGAAAUCCCCGGGCUCAACCUGGGAACUGCAUCGGUGACUGGCAGGCUAGAGUAUGGCAGAGGGGGGUAGAAUUCCACGUGUAGCAGUGAAAUGCGUAGAGAUGUGGAGGAAUACCGAUGGCGAAGGCAGCCCCCUGGGCCAAUACUGACGCUCAUGCACGAAAAGCGUGGGGGAGCAAACAGGAUUAGAUACCCCUGGGUAGUCCACGCCCUAAAACGAUGUCAACUAGUUGUUGGGGAUUCAUUUCCUUAGUAACGUAGCUAACGCGUGAAGUUGACCGCCUGGGGAGUACGGUCGCAAGAUUAAAACUCAAAGGAAUUGACGGGGUCAUAGCUGUUUCCU
RNAcentral lists this ribosomal RNA (590 nucleotides) under uncultured bacterium. RNAcentral describes it as "partial 16S ribosomal RNA". It matches the Rfam family "Bacterial small subunit ribosomal RNA", at positions 355 to 1375 of the family's 1533-position model. The record is from RNAcentral.